RNAcentral lists this long non-coding RNA (1653 nucleotides) under Gossypium raimondii (Peruvian cotton). RNAcentral describes it as "long non-coding RNA (GRAI_LNC007038)". The record is from RNAcentral. Lineage: Eukaryota; Viridiplantae; Streptophyta; Magnoliopsida; Malvales; Malvaceae.
UAAUCACCCUAUUUUUUUUUCUUUCCAUCUAUUUCCCUUAACAAACCAUGCACAGGGAGAAAGAUUUGAAGUGAGUUCUCACCAUUUUUCAUCCUCCAAAUCUCAAAGAAGGCAAGGGUCUUGAUCUAGCUUUUUUUAAGUUCCAUGAAAAAAAUAUAUCUAUGUUCAUCAAUGAUGAAGGUGGAGGUUUUUGGGUGUUUGGGAAGGUUUGAGUUUGAAAAAGUCUCUACCCAUCUUCUCAUAUAUUAUUUAUUUAUUUAUUUAAAGCAUGUAUUUUUCAUCCUAUCAACUCUUAUUUUUUUGUGGGAAAUCUUGUGUGUUACAUGGUUAUAGUUAAAGACGGUGGUGAAUCUUCUAAAGCUAAGGGUAAAGGCAAAGUGGUAGAGAGCUAGGCAAGAAACUUUGUUGGUGUUCUUCCAUCAAGGUGGUACCCUCUAACUCUCUUAUGCUUCUUGAUAAGUCAUAAAUAUAAUGCUUUUUGAUAAUGUAUGCAUGUUAUAUGUCUUUGGGUGGAAAUCAUGUUUGGAUGAUUUAAAAUGAAGUUAAAAACUUAGUUGUGAAAUCUGUUAGAAACAAAUUAUUAUAUGAACAGUAUGUUUAAAAAUGUGACAUAAAUUCUGUAAAAAUAAUUAAGAAGUGAUCUAUACAUUAUUGUAACCGUGAGUCAGUCUAGUUUAGUUUAGAAUAAAUAGAGAUCAAUUUUGAUUUGAAUUUUAAAAUAUAUGAAUUUUUGAGUGUUGAAAGGUCAUAAAAUUCUGGCAGUAAAUUUUUUAUAAAACAUAUUUAGCAGUGACUUUGAAAAAUCACCAAAAAUUUCAUAAGAUAAAAUAGGAAGUAAGCCUAUAACCGUACAAAAUUCUAGUUUCGUCUAAAACAAACGGUGCUCGAUUUAGAUUUAUAUAUUAAGAGUUAUUAAUUUUUGAAUGAGAAAAGGUCAGAAUAUCAAGGUAGCAGAGUGUCACAUCUCAUUAGUUAAUAUUUUAGCUGGAAUGAUAAGCAAGUUGAAACGAGUAUGAGACUCAAAUGUCAUGGUUGUAUUUUUGUGAUUAUAUGUUUGAUGCUUUGUUUGUGCUUAGCCUUCGGGCUCUAACCUAAGUAGCGGCCAUGAGUGGCACUCGAGAUAACCCUAUGGACACCCGGGAUUAUUUGACUAGCGGCCAUGAGUGGCGCGAGACUAUCCGAAUACCCGAUUAUUUGAGUUGUAUGUGCAAUCUAACAAGUUUGACAAGUUUGAUAUGCAAGUGAUUUGGUUAUAUAGAUUUAAUGACUUAUGAUUUAAUUAUUCGAUACUCAUGUCAUGUUUCUAUGUAUACAUUUGAUUUGCAUGCUUAUAUUUAUGAAUUGCUUGAAGUAUGGUAGAUUUGUUGUGUACCACUGAGCCUAUAAAGCUCAACCUUCAAAUUGCCUUAAUGUUCAAAUUUGUAGACUUUUGUUCGUGUCCGAGGAACAUCAUCGAUGAAAGACUCCUAGCAUCACGUAUUCAGAGUACAGUACCUUAUGCAUUAGUGGGCAUUGUAUUCAUAAGGCCUUGUAUUCUUUUUGUAGGUCUGUAACUCAUUUAUCAUUUUUGUUAUUUUGACUAUUUUGAUAUACGAUAAUAUUAGAGCUCCACAUAUUUUGUAUAACUACUUUUAUUACUAUUUUCAGUAUAAC